This 860-nucleotide ribosomal RNA is filed under the name uncultured organism. RNAcentral describes it as "bacterial SSU rRNA". It matches the Rfam family "Archaeal small subunit ribosomal RNA", at positions 477 to 1338 of the family's 1478-position model. The record is from RNAcentral.
CAGCUCUCCGAGUGGUAGGGACGAUUAUUGGGCUUAAAGCGUCCGUAGCCGGCCUGGCAAGUCUUCCGUUAAAUCCAACGAUUCAAUCGUUGGACUGCGGGAGAUACUGUCAGGCUAGGGGGCGGGAGAGGCCGACGGUAUUCCCGGGGUAGGGGUAAAAUCCUAUAAUCCCGGGAAGACCACCAGUGGCGAAGGCGGUCGGCUAGAACGCGCCCGACGGUGAGGGACGAAAGCUGGGGGAGCGAACCGGAUUAGAUACCCGGGUAGUCCCAGCCGUAAACGAUGCGGGCUAGGUGUUGGAGCGGCUACGAGCCGCUUCAGUGCCGCAGGGAAACCAUUAAGCCCGCCGCCUGGGGAGUACGGCCGCAAGGCUGAAACUUAAAGGAAUUGGCGGGGGAGCACCACAAGGGGUGAAGCUUGCGGUUUAAUUGGAGUCAACGCCGGGAAACUUACCGGGGGCGACAGCAGGAUGAAGGCCAGAUUGAAGGUCUUGCUGGACGAGCUGAGAGGAGGUGCAUGGCCGUCGCCAGUUCGUGCCGUGAGGUGUCCUGUUAAGUCAGGCAACGAUCGAGACCCACGCCCCCUGUUGCCACCGAGGAGGUUUCUCCAAGGGGCACUCUGGGGGGACCGCCGCCGACAAGGCGGAGGAAGGAGUGGGCCACGGCAGGUCAGUAUGCCCCGAAUCCCCCGGGCCACACGCGAGCUGCAAUGGCUGGGACAGAGGGUUCCGACCCCGAGAGGGGAAGGUAAUCCCUAAACCCAGCCGUAGUUGGGAUCGAGGGCUGAAACUCGCCCUCGUGAACAUGGAAUCCCUAGUAAUCGCGCGUCAUCAUCGCGCGGUGAAUACGUCCCUGCUCCUU